RNAcentral lists this ribosomal RNA (502 nucleotides) under uncultured bacterium. RNAcentral's name for it is "bacterial SSU rRNA". It matches the Rfam family "Bacterial small subunit ribosomal RNA", at positions 28 to 526 of the family's 1533-position model. The record is from RNAcentral.
GAUGAACGCUAGCGGCAGGCCUAAUACAUGCAAGUCGGACGGUAAGCGCCCCUUCGGGGGUGCGAGAGUGGCGCACGGGUGCGUAACGCGUAUGCAACCAGCCCCGUCCAGGCGGAUAGCCGGUGGAAACGCCGGAUAAUACGCCACGGUCCCGGAGGGGGGCAUCCCUUUCCGGGUGAAGCGGAGACGCGGGACGGGACGGGCAUGCGUGCCAUUAGCUGGUUGGCGGGGCGACGGCCCACCAAGGCUACGAUGGCUAGGGGAUCUGAGAGGACGGUCCCCCACACUGGUACUGAGACACGGACCAGACUCCUGCGGGAGGCAGCAGUAAGGGAUAUUGGUCAAUGGACGAUAGUCUGAACCAGCCAAGUCGCGUGCGGGAUGAAGGCCCUCCGGGUCGUAAACCGCUUUAGCCGGGGAGUAACGUGCGGAACGUGUUCCGCAGUGAGAGUACCCGGAGAAUAAGCAUCGGCUAACUCCGUGCCAGCAGCCGCAGUAACAC